GCUUAAUGUUUUAGUCUUCUUCCUAUUUUAGUACUCAAUAUACAUGGUCUAAAUUUAAGCGAUUUCUGUAAUUUAGUUGUUUUUUUUUAUUUCGAUAUUACCUUUUUUUCUCCUAUAAGUUCAACAGAAAAAAAUUACCUUAACAUAAAUGCAUGCUUCUUUUGAAGGCAGAGUGUGAGCUUAAAUGAACGGUGACCCCAUAUUUUUAUUUUAUUUUUCUAUUAGGAAUAGGCUAAAGUUUAUUUAUAAAAAAAAAAAAAAAAAAUAGCGAAAUCCUAUCUAAGAAAAAAAAAAAAGAUUUAUACUCGCGAGUCCCCUUAAAUUCGUUUAUCUAUUAUCAUGUAUGUUCAGUUUUAGGCUUUUUAUUACCCGGUCCUUUGGACAUUUACC
RNAcentral lists this long non-coding RNA (390 nucleotides) under Mytilus galloprovincialis (Mediterranean mussel). The record is from RNAcentral. Lineage: Eukaryota; Metazoa; Mollusca; Bivalvia; Mytilida; Mytilidae.